This 1013-nucleotide long non-coding RNA is filed under the name Nicotiana tabacum (common tobacco). RNAcentral describes it as "long non-coding RNA (NTAB_LNC001672)". The record is from RNAcentral. Lineage: Eukaryota; Viridiplantae; Streptophyta; Magnoliopsida; Solanales; Solanaceae.
AUGAAUGUUAUUUCGACCCACCUACCUUAGCCGACCCAAGGUUUUGUUACCUGGGUCAUAAAAUUACAUUAACCCACUUAUCUGAUCCUAUCAAAAUUGAAUUUAGAUAUCUCACCAUCCAUCACGAAGUUCUGUUUCUCAAUUAAAUACUCUUAACUUAAUUUCUUGAAGAUGCCAACGAUUUAUGUAAGCUUUCUUAUUUUUAGUUUUAUAGUGUAAAAUAAGAAUUUUUUCCCUCACUUUUCCUUUAGUUAUCUGUAACUUUAGGGGGUUUGUUCACAGGAGAAACGACUAUGGUGGUGAGGUAGGCAAGAUAGUAGAGGAGGUGAUGAGAGCAACGACUAUGGUGGUGGGAGCAGUAGCUACGGUGGCGAAGGCAGCAACUACAGUGGUAAACAUAGUGGUUGCGGUCAGUAUGAUGGUGGAGGUCAACUCCCGAUGGGGAUAGUUGCGCAAGAGAGAAGAUGAAUGGGGGAGAGAGAAUUUGGGUGAAAUCAAAAAGAAGAUCGGAAAAAUGGGGAAGCCAUUGGGAACAACAAGAUGUCUGCCCCUUCUCACUCCACUUCUUUCGCCAUUGUUUCUCGCUCUAACAAAAUUUUGGGUCGGGUCAGCUAAGUGGAUUGAAAUAAAAUUUAUUUUUUAUUUCGGUACGAGAUUGUCACGUGGCCCAGUAAAAAAAUGACACGUCAUUAAAUUGAAGGUCCACCGGUUAUGCUGUUAGUUGUGGAGGUAAUUUUAUUAAUAGAAUUAACGUCGCGUGUUUUUUUGGACGGAUAGAUGAAUGAAAGGUGUUUGUAAACCAUUUAGCAACAACAGGGGUAGUUUAUGCCCUUUUCCGUUUAUGUUUUUUAUGGAAAGAAAAAGGUUGAUGAUGUUAACAAAUUUUUCCUGAAAGGUUGCACAAUACUUAGUAUCAAGCCAAUAAUGCAGGCAGCUCAGCCUAGUCGUUUUCCCAUUUUUUUAAGCAAACGAGAGCUCUUCCUGAUAGCUUAAGGUAUACAAAAUCAAAGUCC